GAUGAACGCUAGCUACAGGCUUAACACAUGCAAGUCGAGGGGUAACGAGAGGAAAGCUUGCUUUCCUUGUCGACGACCGGCGCACGGGUGAGUAACGCGUAACCAACCUGCCCCCAACUAAGGAAUAACCUUGCGAACGUAAGACUAAUACCUUAUAAUUUCCUCAGAUGACAUCUGACGAGGAAUAAAGAUUUAUCGGUUGUGGAUGGGGAUGCGUCUGAUUAGCUUGUUGGAGGGGUAACGGCCCACCAAGGCAACGAUCAGUAGGGGUUUUGAGAGGAAGGUCCCCCACAUUGGAACUGAGACACGGUCCAAACUCCUACGGGAGGCAGCAGUGAGGAAUAUUGGUCAAUGGGCGGAAGCCUGAACCAGCCAAGUAGCGUGCAGGAUGACGGCCCUAUGGGUUGUAAACUGCUUUUAUACAGGAAUAAAGUUAGCCACGUGUGGUUAUUUGUAGGUACUGUAUGAAUAAGGACCGGCUAAUUCCGUGCCAGCAGCCGCCGUAA
Molecule: ribosomal RNA, 506 nt
Filed under: uncultured bacterium
Lineage: Bacteria
Description: partial 16S ribosomal RNA
Rfam family: Bacterial small subunit ribosomal RNA
Source: RNAcentral